Molecule: ribosomal RNA, 253 nt
Filed under: uncultured bacterium
Lineage: Bacteria
Description: partial 16S ribosomal RNA
Rfam family: Bacterial small subunit ribosomal RNA
Source: RNAcentral
UACGUAGGAGGCGAGCGUUGUCCGGAAUUAUUGGGCGUAAAGAGCUCGUAGGCGGUCUGUCGCGUCGGCUGUGAAAUCCCGGAGCUCAACUCCGGGCCUGCAGUCGAUACGGGCAGACUGGAGUUCGGCAGGGGAGACUGGAAUUCCUGGUGUAGCGGUGAAAUGCGCAGAUAUCAGGAGGAACACCGGUGGCGAAGGCGGGUCUCUGGGCCGAUACUGACGCUGAGGAGCGAAAGCGUGGGGAGCAAACAGG